This 441-nucleotide ribosomal RNA is filed under the name Flavobacterium sp. RNAcentral describes it as "bacterial SSU rRNA". It matches the Rfam family "Bacterial small subunit ribosomal RNA", at positions 417 to 861 of the family's 1533-position model. The record is from RNAcentral. Lineage: Bacteria; Pseudomonadati; Bacteroidota; Flavobacteriia; Flavobacteriales; Flavobacteriaceae.
UAUGGAUUGUAAACUGCUUUUAUACGAGAAGAAACACUGCUUCGUGAAGCAGCUUGACGGUAUCGUAAGAAUAAGGAUCGGCUAACUCCGUGCCAGCAGCCGCGGUAAUACGGAGGAUCCAAGCGUUAUCCGGAAUCAUUGGGUUUAAAGGGUCCGUAGGCGGUUUAAUAAGUCAGUGGUGAAAGCCCAUCGCUCAACGGUGGAACGGCCAUUGAUACUGUUAAACUUGAAUUAUUAGGAAGUAACUAGAAUAUGUAGUGUAGCGGUGAAAUGCUUAGAGAUUACAUGGAAUACCAAUUGCGAAGGCAGGUUACUACUAAUGGAUUGACGCUGAUGGACGAAAGCGUGGGUAGCGAACAGGAUUAGAUACCCUGGUAGUCCACGCCGUAAACGAUGGAUACUAGCUGUUGGAAGCAAUUUCAGUGGCUAAGCGAAAGUGAU